This 609-nucleotide ribosomal RNA is filed under the name Heteractis magnifica (magnificent sea anemone). RNAcentral describes it as "bacterial SSU rRNA". It matches the Rfam family "Eukaryotic small subunit ribosomal RNA", at positions 331 to 938 of the family's 1831-position model. Lineage: Eukaryota; Metazoa; Cnidaria; Anthozoa; Actiniaria; Stichodactylidae. The record is from RNAcentral.
AGGUAUUGGCUUACCAUGGUUACAACGGGUGACGGAAAAUUAGGGUUCGAUACCGGAGAGGGAGCCUGAGAAACGGCUACCACAUCCAAGGAAGGCAGCAGGGGCGCAAAUUACCCAAUCCUGACUCAGGGAGGUUGUGACAACAAAUAACAAUACAGGGCUUUCCUAAGUCUUGUAAUUGGAAUGAGUACAACUUAAAUCCUUUAACGAGGAUCCAUUGGAGGGCAAGUCUGGUACCAGCAGCCGCGGUAAUUCCAGCUCCAAUAGCGUAUAUUAAAGUUGUCGCAGUUAAAAAGCUCGUAGUUGGAUUUCGGGGUUGGACGGCCGGUCCGUCGCAAGGUGUGUCACUGGCCGGGCCGCCCUUUCUUCGCAAAGACUGCGUGUGCUCUUAACUGAGUGUGCGUAGGACUUGUGACGUUUACUUUUGAAAAAAUUAAAAGUGUUCAAAGCAGGCAGCGCUUGAAUACAUUAGCAUGGAAUAAUGGCAAUAGGACUGUCGGUUCUAUGUUUGUCGGUUUCUGGAACCCAACGUUAAUGAUUUAUGAGGGACAGUUGGGGGCAUUCGUAUUUCGUGGUCAAGAGGUGAAAUUCUUGGAUUUCGAAAAACGA